Pteropus alecto (black flying fox) is the source of this 6849-nucleotide long non-coding RNA. RefSeq lists it as uncharacterized. Lineage: Eukaryota; Metazoa; Chordata; Mammalia; Chiroptera; Pteropodidae. The record is from RefSeq and is a predicted model, not a curated record. The transcript has 31 exons.
ACCUCGCUUCUUUCUAAAAAGUUAUUGGAUAAAUUUGUCUGCAAUUAUUCAAGUCUGGACUGUGGGACAAGCAUGCGUUUUCCACAGUAGCCAUCACAGGACACAUGCAGCCUUACCCAGGCCGCUCGCCCACCCCGCUGAGGUCCACACUGGCGCUCGCAUCCAGCCUCUGCCCAGGGACUCCCCAGCUCCUGGCGAGCCCCACCCCUGGGGCCCGGGCCCUCGUGCGACCCCAUUAAGUCUCGGCUCCCUGAGCUUUGACUCCACAGGCAGCUACGAGUAGCAUCUUCCCAGGCGGGCGGACCCUCCCUCAUCUGGGACCCCCGCCCCGUCUGGGUCCCCGGGUCUGCACUCGCUGCCCCCUCGGCCUCAGCACACAGUAGGGCUGCUGGCAGCAGGUGAGGCUGCGCCUUGGCCAGGGGACCCGGCGAGCGCUCUCUCUUUUCCCUCCCAGGUGGCGCAGAGGUGCUGUGGCGGCUGCUUUAUCCCCGGCAGGGAGCAGAUGCCCGGCCCAGGAUCGAAUCCAAGCUGAGGCUCACUGCCCCGAGGUGGGCAGUGAGCUCGUGGCCCCCAAGGCCAGGGUGUGGCUCAGCCUUGGCCCCCCAGGAUGGCACGCCUGCCCAGAGGAGUGCGGGACCCUCCCAGGCUGAGCUCGCCAGUGUCCCUCGGCUCCAUCUUGCCUGGAUAUGACGUCCCCGCACUGAAAACCGCCUCACAUUCUUCCCUGGCCGACGGGCCGUGUCGGAGGGCUGGGCUGUGCGCGCUGUGGCACUGAUGAGAGGACCUUGCAAGGUUAGUGACCUGUGCAAGAUCCGCUAGGAAGCGGGACCCAGGAUUCCGAUCCAGGUUCGUCUGAUUUCUGUGCCGAAUAGAAACGGGGAAGGCGAGGGGUCAGGUCCGUGGAUGGAGGGACCCCUGAGUCGAGACGCGUCAGUGCACAGCGCUGGCUGGCCGGCCGAUAAAUGCUGGACGGCUGUCGUGAGGCUCACGCGGGGUAAUGUAUGCUCAGGCACGCUGUGAGUGCUGCGUGCGGGUCCAGGAGGUGCAGCAUCCAUGGUCCUCUGUUGCUUAGAGGGAACUUGCACUUAAACUUGAUGCUUUUCAUUUUCGUACCACCUGGGAGGGAGGGAAGGCUGGAUUGUUGCCUGCUCCCCGAGGCUCCGAGAGGGCACGGCCCCCGCGGUGCCAGGAAGGCGGAGGCAGGACUGGUCCUGUUCCAUGCCUAGUGUUCUUUCCGCGACUCCCUCAGGAAAGUCCCCAAGUGGAUGUGUUUAUGAAUAUAUUACCUGCCAGACGCAUGCAUAACGUGCGCAUGUUUUAAAUGUGUUUGUUAUUUCCAGGUCUCAGAGGUGCUCUGAGGCCAGCGUGCUGGACACCUCCUGGGCCGGCCCGGGAGAGGGGGAAGGAAGCUGGCGUGUAUUGUCAGGAGGGUCAAAGCAGAGCCCUCUUUGGAUUUGGGGAUCAAGCUGGUGUAGACGCCCCUGGGAGCAGCCCCGUUCACGCAGUGAAGCCCUUCCUUCGGUUUCUACUUUCCAGGGCACUUGUUCCAACUUUGAUGCCAUGUCCAAAACGGAACAGAUCCCAGCCAUUUCCUGCCCGAGGCCCAUCCUUCCCGAAGCCCUCGACUUGGCCUGAGCGUCAUUCUUGGUCCAGUUAGACGGGGGGCCAUUUGACCAGCGUGGUGGGUGGCACGGGCCGGGGCGGGAGCCGCGGGGAGCUGUUCUGCAGUUCACCCUCAGCUCGGAUCCGCGAGGUGUUCCCUCCCAUCCUCGGUCUACAAAUCGCACCAGUCGGGGCACAAGACAGAGAGGCCAGGUCACGUCUCUGCAGUUACACAGCUCAUGAGUGCCUGCUGGGGUGGAACCUGGUCUGUCUGUCUGUCUAGCACCACCGCGUGGGCGCUGCUGCAGAGGGAACAGAGGUUGGGUGAGGGGCUCAGAUGGGGUGUGUGUGUGGGGUUACCUGGCUGACUUUGGCAUGAAAAUAAUGGCUAAAUCUGCUUAGGGAAGAGCACCGUGGCUGUUGUCCACUUAGGGAAGCGGCCCCUCAGAGGUUAAGGUCACUUGCCUGACGUCGCCCAUCUCGGCAGGUUUUGGGCUGGGUUUGGAGGUGGGCCAUGUGGUGUGAGCAUAUGUGCCCUAAGCGUGGGACACCAUUACCUCGUGCCUGUGAGCAUGGGCGGAGGUGGCACACAGAGUCCAGGGAGCUCGGUUUGAGUCCUCUGACCGCCCCUGGCAGGUGUGCUCCUACGUCGGUCACGUGUAUUUAAUUUUCCCCCUUGACGGAGGCCCAGCAGAGGCCCAGUAAGCUACUGGCCCAUGACAAUACUUUCUAAGAAUACGUAUGUGUGGUAACAUUUAACACAUAUAAAGGAGGAAAGGGAGGGUACCCAGGAGAUUGGAGGUGAUGAUUUAAGGCAGAGGCUGUAAGGGUUUGGGGGAGGGUCAUGUGUGGUUAUUGUCCUGGUUUUAACAAAUGACACAAUAAGAGAGGCUCGCCGGGAAGAGUGAGCGAGACUGGAUCAUGGACCAAGGAUUGUGAUUAAUUCGCCACAACCGAGGGACACGAAGAGAUCAGAGUGGUUUGUAGUGGUUAAUUUUACUCUUAAAAAUAAUAUAAUAAAGGCCUGGAAUAGAGCAAUUGUGAGAAUGUGUUCUGGACAAAAGAUUAUGAUUAACCCAGGUCUGCUAACCUGACAUUAGCAAACAGAAAAGGUCGAGGCUGUUUUCCUCCGCUUAAUGGGGCUUUGUCUUCCUUAGAAUAGACACGCCCAGUUUGUCCACCAGAGAAAAUCUUGGCCACGAGAAAGAGACUGUAGACAGUAUAUGGGCAUUUAAUGGGUGUUCACCAAAUAGUCAUAGAUGAAUGCAUAUGCAUAAAUAAAAUUAAAGAGGGCCAGGCAUGGGCCGAUGAUGAGAAUGUGUUUUUAAACACGAUUACGAGUAAUCUAGUUCACCCCUCACCCAACCCAGCAAGUCGCGACUGUGGGUAUAUGGAGCAGUCAUUGCUCUGGGCUGAAAGGUGGCUUCAAGUGUAUUUGCCGUGUAGUUAAAAAUAAAUUUGACGAGUAAUAAAAUAAAUGACAAAUUGAAAGAGGGCCAAGAAUGACCACCAAAGAUGUUUUAUGAAUUAUGGAUUGAGAUCAAUCUAAUUUAUGUACAAUUGUGGACUAUUUAAAGCAACGAAACAAACAAAUUUCUUACCUCUGUGGAUAAGAAGCAUUGGUACGCAAAUACUGAUCUAGGUACUAAUUGGUAUUUUUCUUUUGGGUUAGUGCUGAGCUCAUGUGUGUUUAUUGUAUUUAAAAAGUAAGUGAGAGCAAUGAGAAGGACAAGUGGAAAACAAUAACGAGAUUAUAUCUGAAAUCAAAGAUUAUUAUUACUCCAACUCUGCGCAUCUGAGUCUCUCGGGAGUGAGAUCUGGGCUGGUUCUUUGUAAGAAGUGUAGAGACAGAUACUUAUAAUUGUUGUUAUUCUUGCUUUUGAUUAGGGUGGCGAAUUUGUGCAUGUUCACUGUGAUAAAAUCAUUAGACGAAAAAAUACGGACGAUGAGAGCUAUGCUUGGGCCAAUGGCGAGACUGCGUCAUAAGCCAAAGAUCAUGAUGGGUCCCGUGCUGCUCACCUGACAGCUGUUAAGAAGCACCCAGGCUGUCUUAUCCUAAAAUAUCUGCCUUGUACUUCACAGGACAGAGACCUGGAGUGGGCCUGAUGAUAAAGACCUCGGCUGCUACGUGUCUGGGAAACGGAACACGGACCAGCCAAGAUUCAAUAUACUCAUCUGACGUAUUCAUUAUCUAGCGAUGAAGGUCUUGACUGUUACUUCUGUGGAUAAGGAGCAAAGGGACUGAAUGGCUACAGGACAGUAGACUUAUUCAUCCCCUAAGAAACAAAAUCUUGGCAGCCAGCUCUGCGGAUAAAGAGCAGAAAUGAAUAUUACACUGUUCGCUGAUUUACUUGUUCUCUACCUAUUGGGACUAAAGAGCAUGAAGACCAGUAGUGAAUGUAGGACAGUUGAUUGAAAGGAUCGAUGUCAAGAGCAAAGAGCAUCAAGACUAAUAUAACUUCUUUUCUUCCCGAAUGAACACUCCACGUUGGAUUCAGUCAUUGUCCGGUGAUGGCGACCUUGGCUGUGAACUUCUGUCCAUGGAAAAGAGCAACAAUGAAGAUCGUGGCUGAUUGAAUUAAUCUCUACCGAUGAAGAUCUUGGCUGCUACCUUCAAUGGACACAUAAUGAUUCAGUUAAAGACCGUAGAACCUUAUACAUGAUUGAAGAUAAUGAGGACCAAUCUUGGACCAAUGAUGACAACUGGUGGAGUAUGAAUCAUGGAAGAUGAAUACUAUGUGUCUGGAACUCUGAGGUCCAACACAACAAGAAAUCUGAAUGGAUGCUCCCUGCUGAUUUAAGCGUCUUCUGUGGUCAUGAGCUCCGGUCGCCUCCAUGUGUUAGUUCCGUGGAGACCAGCAAUGCACGUAUUGGAGCUGAGUUAAAGAUUCUUCUAUAGUCACGAGAUGUCUGGUUGUCUCUCUGUUUGGUGCAUAGAAACAAAUAAUGGACACACCAAAACUGACCUAAGCUUGAUGUCCUGGUCAGCGACCUCUGUAUUUUCCUGUAGGAGCGUGGAACCAACAAUGAACGUGGUCAAGCCGAUUUCAGCACCCUCCGUGCCCCAUGGUUGCCUCUGUGUAGGGAGCAUGGAGACCAAGAAUAAGAACGCUUAUGCGGAUUUAAGCAUCUGUAGUGUUUCUGUGCACCACGCCGGCCUCUGGGUGGGAACGUGAGGGCAGUAAUCGAUGCACAGCUGAUUUGUUUUCCAUGGUAACGAGAUCUAUGGUUUCUCCUGUGGGUUCGGCAUGGAGAUGAAUCUGGACACACCUGAGCUGAUUAAGCCUUUGGCCGUGAUCAGGAGCUCCGCUGGUCAUGUGGAGAACAGGUGCUCCAGGCUGAUUUCCAUUUCUACCGUGAUCAAGGUCGUCAUGCUGCCUUUGUGUAGGGAGAGAAGCCAGUUUUCCUAGGUGACUGACUGGAUGAAAGGUGGAAUGCGAGGGUCAGCGGAGAUGGGUCUCAGGCUUUUUUUUUAUCAUCUGCCCUGCUGUCCUCAGAAUGGAUGUGCUUGAGCCGAUUUGUGGGUUCUUCUACCAUCACGAGCUCCAGGGUUGCAUCUGGGUGUUCGAGUGUGGAGGCCAGUGUUUGUACUGCAGGUUAUAAACAUCCUCUGUGGCAAUGAUCUAAGCUGUUAAUUCAGUGAAGAACCCCAUAAGAAGACGUUUUCCCUAAACAUUUUGUAAUUGAUGUACGCUAUUUUCAUUCUGAGGAAGGAGCACAUAGGAGAUAAUGGAUGCUGUUGCUGAUUUCAGCUUCCACCAUGAUCAAGAUUGUCACGUGGCCCCUGUGUGAAGAAAGAACCUCACAACAGAUGUUUGAUCUGAUUUCAUCUAUUGUUAUCAAGAUGGUCACGUUCCCUUUCUCUUAGGAAAGAGAUCUAGAACAGACACACUCAAGCUGCUAUAAGCAUCUCAGUGGUGGCCCUGUGAUUGUAUCUCUGUGUUGGGAGUUCACUAUGGCCACAUUUGGGCGACUUCAGGGUCUUCCACAGACAGGAACUCCAUGGUCACGUCUAUGCAUUAAAAGCAUGGAUACCAAUGUGAGUGAUAGUCAAAAGUUGUUUUUUUGGUUUAGUGGUUUUUAAAAAAGGUUUCCCUGCAUUAUUAAAAGUGUCAUAUAAAGUCAAACACCGUAACCAUGGCUAAGUAGUAAAUUUGGGGUUAAUAUGGAGCAUUAUAUUAAUUAAUCUACACAAGAUGACAUCGAAGUUAAUUAAUGAAAGAUUUAUAGUCAGUAGUAAAUAAUUCUAUAGAGAAAUGUUAGAGAUAUUUAAAGAUCUUGUUUUAAUCGGCAUUUAUUUUAUUGUUUUUAGUUAACCAAUGAGUUAAUCAAUAAAAACGUAGGAACGUUAAUGAAUAUAAUGAGUACCAAACCUGAAGCAAUGAUGAUGAUUGGUCUUGUCUGAGUCUUGGCUCCUGAAAACUAUAGGUCUGAAACUCUGAGGUCCAGCACAGAACAUAGGUCAAAUCUCUCUAUUGGAACUGUUUCUAUAGAGAGAUAUCAAGAAUAUAUGAUGUUCAUAUUCUUAUAUGAAUUUCACAAAUGUAGAUUUGUUAUUGUUAAUGGUAUAAUGAUGGAACCAUUAACAAAUAUAAAUAAAUAUUUGAAAAAUAAGAGGGGGAAGCAUUGUCCAACUAUUAUAAAUGUGUGGCAAUGCCCCUUCAGACAUUAGUAGUUAAGGCUCUCACCUCUUAGACUGAGGUCAUAUAAACUCUGAUAAGGAAGAGUCGAUUUUAUUCUUCUUGGUACUGAAGAUCGCGUUUUUCCUUUUGUACGAUAGACAGAUAGAUGGAUAGAUGAAUGGAUGGAUGGAUGGAUAGAUGGAUGGAUAGAUACAUAGAUAUUAAGAAAACUAAAUUGAUAUUGAAUAUAUGAAAAGUGAAAAGCAAGGAUCAGCGGUGACUAGGUCUUUUUUUUUUUUUUUCAAUCACUUACUUUCCCUGUGCUCCUGAGAAUGGAAACACUUGAGCCAAAGAGAGCGUCUUCCGCGGUCAUGAGCUCUGUGAUUCUUCUAUAUGAGAAGAGAGCGAAGGUUAAUGAUGGACACACUGGCGCUGAUUUGAGGAUUCUUCCUUGAUGGAGAGGACAGACUCUGGGCUUGCAUCUCUGUUUGAGGAGCAACAAGACCAACGUAAGACACACUCAGGCUGCUUCAGUUCAGCAUCUUCCACGGUCGCGAGCUCUUUGGUUACCUCUGUCUACUAGGAGGAUGGAGAUCAAUAAUGGACACAAUGGACCUGAUGCAAG